Molecule: ribosomal RNA, 24 nt
Filed under: Megalophaedusa kawamotoi
Lineage: Eukaryota; Metazoa; Mollusca; Gastropoda; Stylommatophora; Clausiliidae
Description: Tyrannophaedusa kawamotoi partial 5.8S rRNA
Source: RNAcentral
GAAAAACCAGAAAAGAAAUGGGAA